Molecule: unclassified non-coding RNA, 374 nt
Filed under: Ramicandelaber sp.
Lineage: Eukaryota; Fungi; Kickxellomycota; Ramicandelaberales; Ramicandelaberaceae
Description: partial internal transcribed spacer region
Rfam family: Eukaryotic small subunit ribosomal RNA (bases 1-46)
Source: RNAcentral
AAGUCGUAACAAGGUAUCCGUAGGUGAACCUGCGGAUGGAUCAUUACCAAUCUUUAACUAUUUAAGUUUGCAUCCCGAGCACUACUCCUGUAGUGUAAAGGUGCACAACUUUAAUGUAAAUGUUGAACUAGAUCUUUCAGCGUGGAUUGCUUGGGUGAAGGGGGGGAAACGGAAAGGACCCCUGACCCUAGCCCUCUGUGACCCCGGGCAAACCCCACGCUGAUGUAUUAUAUAACAUACUACUACUACUACAAAACACACAACCAAACAAAAAAAACACUACAAUAGGACUUAUAUAACGGCUGGGUGGGUAAAAUCCUCAGUCUUUAAUUUAAUAACUAUUACAACUUUCAGCAAUGGAUCUCUAGGCUCUC